AUUGAACGCUGGCGGCAUGCCUUACACAUGCAAAUCGAACGGUAACGGGCCUUCGGGUGCCGACGAGUGGCGAACGGGUGAGUAAUACAUCGGAACGUGCCCGAUCGUGGGGGAUAACGAGGCGAAAGCUUUGCUAAUACCGCAUACGAUCUACGGAUGAAAGCAGGGGACCGCAAGGCCUUGCGCGGACGGAGCGGCCGAUGGCAGAUUAGGUAGUUGGUGGGAUAAAAGCUUACCAAGCCGACGAUCUGUAGCUGGUCUGAGAGGAUGAUCAGCCACACUGGGACUGAGACACGGCCCAGACUCCUACGGGAGGCAGCAGUGGGGAAUUUUGGACAAUGGGCGCAAGCCUGAUCCAGCCAUGCCGCGUGCAGGAUGAAGGCUUUCGGGUUGUAAACUGAUUUUGUACGGAACGAAAAGCCUUCUUUUAAUACAGGAGGGUCAUGACGGUACCGUAAGAAUAAGCACCGGCUAACUACGUG
This 482-nucleotide ribosomal RNA is filed under the name uncultured bacterium. Its description in RNAcentral is "partial 16S ribosomal RNA". It matches the Rfam family "Bacterial small subunit ribosomal RNA", at positions 30 to 507 of the family's 1533-position model. The record is from RNAcentral.